RNAcentral lists this transfer RNA (71 nucleotides) under Candidatus Uhrbacteria bacterium. RNAcentral's name for it is "tRNA-Met". It matches the Rfam family "tRNA". From Rfam's summary of the family: Transfer RNA (tRNA) molecules are approximately 80 nucleotides in length. Their secondary structure includes four short double-helical elements and three loops (D, anti-codon, and T loops). Further hydrogen bonds mediate the characteristic L-shaped molecular structure. tRNAs have two regions of fundamental functional importance: the anti-codon, which is responsible for specific mRNA codon recognition, and the 3' end, to which the tRNAs corresponding amino acid is attached (by aminoacyl-tRNA synthetases). tRNAs cope with the degeneracy of the genetic code in two manners: having more than one tRNA (with a specific anti-codon) for a particular amino acid; and 'wobble' base-pairing, i.e. permitting non-standard base-pairing at the 3rd anti-codon position. Lineage: Bacteria; Candidatus Uhriibacteriota. The record is from RNAcentral.
CGCGGGGUAGAGCAGUCCGGUAGCUCGGGUGGCUCAUAACCNNAUUGGUUCAAAUCCAAUCCCCGCAACCA